This 466-nucleotide ribosomal RNA is filed under the name uncultured bacterium. RNAcentral describes it as "partial 16S ribosomal RNA". It matches the Rfam family "Bacterial small subunit ribosomal RNA", at positions 28 to 507 of the family's 1533-position model. The record is from RNAcentral.
GAUGAACGCUGGCGGCGUGCUUAACACAUGCAAGUCGAACGAUGAAGCCCAGCUUGCUGGGUGGAUUAGUGGCGAACGGGUGAGUAACACGUGAGUAACCUGCCCAUAACUCUGGGAUAAGCCUGGGAAACUGGGUCUAAUACCGGAUAGGAGCGUCCACCGCAUGGUGGGUGUUGGAAAGAUUUAUCGGUUUUGGAUGGACUCGCGGCCUAUCAGCUUGUUGGUGAGGUAAUGGCUCACCAAGGCGACGACGGGUAGCCGGCCUGAGAGGGUGACCGGCCACACUGGGACUGAGACACGGCCCAGACUCCUACGGGAGGCAGCAGUGGGGAAUAUUGCACAAUGGGCGCAAGCCUGAUGCAGCGACGCCGCGUGAGGGAUGACGGCCUUCGGGUUGUAAACCUCUUUCAGUAGGGAAGAAGCGAAAGUGACGGUACCUGCAGAAGAAGCACCGGCUAACUACGUG